Molecule: ribosomal RNA, 407 nt
Filed under: uncultured prokaryote
Also listed under: 1 other name
Description: bacterial SSU rRNA
Rfam family: Bacterial small subunit ribosomal RNA
Source: RNAcentral
UGGGGAAUCUUCCGCAAUGGGCGAAAGCCUGACGGAGCAACGCCGCGUGAGUGAAGAAGGCUUUCGGGUCGUAAAACUCUGUCUUCAGGGAAGAAAAAAAUGACGGUACCUGAGGAGGAAGCCCCGGCUAACUACGUGCCAGCAGCCGCGGUAAAACGUAGGGGGCGAGCGUUGUCCGGAAUUACUGGGCGUAAAGGGCGCGUAGGCGGUCAUUUAAGUCAGAGGUGAAAACUACCGGCUCAACCGGCAGCCUGCCUUUGAAACUGGAUGACUUGAGGGCAGGAGAGGGGAGUGGAAUUCCCAGUGUAGCGGUGAAAUGCGUAGAUAUUGGGAGGAACACCAGUGGCGAAGGCGGCUUACUAAGCUACUACUGACGCUCAGGCACGAAGGCGUGGGGAUCAAACAGG